AGUUAACGUUGGCAGUGCGUCUUAAGCAUGCAAGUCGAACGGCAGCAGGACAUAGCUUGCUAUGUUGCUGGCGAGUGGCGGACUGGUGAGUAACACGUAAGAAUCUACCCUUUGAUGGAGGAUAGCUUAUGGAAACAUGAGGUAAUACUCCAGAAGCCGUGCACUAAAUUGAGACAGUAAAAAAAAGACAAAAAGCAGGUAUUGAAAGGUAUGGUAAAAGUCUUCGGAUGUCAAAGGAUGAGCUUGCGUCCUAUCAGCUAGUUGGUAAGGUAAAAGCUUACCAAGGCUAUGACGGGUAACCGGCCUGAGAGGGUGAUCGGUCACACUGGAACUGAGAUACGGUCCAGACUCCUACGGGAGGCAGCAGCUAAGAAUAUUCCGCAAUUGGGGCAACCCUGACGGAGCGACACUGCGUGCGGGAUGAAGGCUUUCGGGUUGUAAACCGCUUUUGGUAGGGACGAAUAAGCAUGCGAUGACGGUACCUACCGAAUAAGUCCCGGCAAUUACGUGCCAGCAGCCGCGGUAAUACGUAAGGGGCAAACGUUACUCGGAAUCACUGGGCGUAAAGGGCCCGCAGGCGGUCUUGUAAGUCAGUUGUUAAAUACUAGUGCUUAACGCUAGAGAUGCGCCUGAUACUGCGAGACUAGAAUACAGUAUAGGGUGAUGGAAUUUCCGGUGUAGGGGUGAAAUCUGUAGAGAUCGGAAAGAAUACCAAUGGCGAAGGCAAUCACCUAGUCUGAUAUUGACGCUGAGGGGCGAAAGCUAGGGUAGCGAACGGGAUUAGAUACCCCGGUAGUCCUAGCCGUAAACGAUGUAUGCUAGGUAUAGGGAGGCAAGACCAUUUUGUACCGCAGCUAACGCGAUAAGCAUACCGCCUGGGGAGAUGCCCGCAAGGGU
This 897-nucleotide ribosomal RNA is filed under the name uncultured spirochete. RNAcentral's name for it is "bacterial SSU rRNA". It matches the Rfam family "Bacterial small subunit ribosomal RNA", at positions 28 to 895 of the family's 1533-position model. The record is from RNAcentral. Lineage: Bacteria; Pseudomonadati; Spirochaetota; Spirochaetia; Spirochaetales.